UUUUGACCACCCCAACGCUAAAACCCUAGCUCCUGCAAAUUAUUCUCUCUGCUUUCUCUCUCUCUGACAAGGCCAUGUACCACGUGGAAGAGGGGCAGAAUCAGGCCGAACCGGCGAAGGAAGUGCUUGAUGAGGAGAAUAAUCGUAAAAAUGGUAUGCUCUUGAUUUUCUGGUUUAGGGUAAAUUCAUGACAUGGAAGAAGAUUAUCUGGUUUGUCUAAUUGAGUACUAUAUUAUCCGGAAUUCAAUUGCCACUGAAUAAUUUUUAUUUCCUCGAUCUAGCGUAGUAUUUCAAGCAAAUUAAGCAGUUGGUAUGGAUGAGUUAAUUGGUUAUCGUAACAACUAACAAGUUAAGCUAUAAUUGUCUUGAAUGGAAUGGAAUGGAAUUGAAUUUUGUUGUUUGUAUUUAACUCGUUAAUAUGCCUUGGUGCUGUUUUCGUCCACGAUGCCCUCCUUACCCCAGGCUGUGAUGUUUGGAUGAGGGUUUUUCAAGUUUUUAAGGAAUAGAUGUAAGUUAGAAAGGAAUUGGCCACAAAUUAACAUAGAAGGGAUUAGAAAACCGUCCAUGAACAUUACAUAGGCCGAUAGGCGUUUGAGAAGGAUUCGCUAAUGCCUAUUUUGGAGAUGUCAUCUGCAUAUCUCUCAUGUAUUUGUAUUACCCAUGUUGGAAUUUUCUUUUGCUUCUUAAUUUGUGCGAUUUGAGGAUUUAGUUUAGUUUUAGUUUUGUAUUUAACUAUGGAACUGCAAACAAACAGAAAAACAGAACUUUGUACCAAAGGAUGUUGGAGACUAUUGGAUGCAAGCAACUUUGUGUCAAUCUCCUUUAUCUUUGUGCUGUCAACUUUGUGUCAACUUCUUAAUUCAAGGAGCUUGUCUUUUCUAAACCAUUUUGUCAGUUGUCUUCCCUAAACCACCUUUGUGGCGUAUAUCAAGGAGUCAAUCUCCUUAUAUAUUGUUGUACAAUUAUAAUGAUAUCAUGAAGAAAAUACAAAACAUACUUUGAAAAUCAGCAGAGACUCAAUGACUAAACUCCUUGGACGACAAAGAAGAAGAUGACGACGAUGAUGGUGCGCACUUCUAGGCUCUGCAUAGUUUGCUGUAAGAAGAAGAAGCACUUCAGUCACAAUUGCCCCAUACCUGAAGCAUGUCCCACGUGGUGCUACUGUUGGCCCUGGCUUUCUGACAUAUUUUGCAAGUGUCGUAAUCAGCUUGGUGGCCACACUGGGCAAAACUUUGUCACGUUUUGUGCUUGUUGUAUGACUCUGGGUCAACACCCGUAUGUGAAGUGCCCGUAUCGUCCCAAGGACAGACUACCAUUAUUUGUGCCUCGCACGGUGGUUGUGCGGUCGGCCAUGGACAGACCACCAUAUGAGUAUCCUGUACCUGACGUUUACUAGGAUUAAGAUCUCAAUUUUGCCGUUGUUUUUCUUGCUUAUUUUUAGCUAGUAUUAUAAUGAGAUAAGUAAGAGCUUGAGAAUACUCUAAUUGAAAGUUGAACUUUGAAUAAGAAUAAAACACAUACAUUGGCUUAUUUCAUGUCAAAUUAAUACGAUCAAGAUUCAAGUGCAAUCCUUUGCCACUAAUUGCCAAUCGUGACGAGUUUUCUUUGCCACAGCUCUUCACCAUCAAAUGCUUGCGACUCCUAAUUAACCUACCCAUCUCGGUAAUGCAUUCUUAAUCUUAAUACUCAAGGUUCAGAUCACCCAUUUUGUUCUUCUACUCUCUCAUCAUCAACACCUCAAUUCUGCAAACCAAAACCCGGAAUUAGCAUGUGUAGUACGUUGAGAGCGAACAAGAACUCUUAGGUAAGGCUGCCUCGACAGAGACACCAGACCAGGGGAUGGAGGGGCCAGAAACUCUUACUGCUCGAUCUUAAUGAUGCCCUCGUUCAAGUCUCCGAGCCAAUUUAGCAUUGCAUUUUCUUUUUUGGAUCAAGUCAAGUGCAUGGAAACAUUCAUCAUAUGAUGCCAUUCCAGCUAACUUCAAACUCGUCAUGUUUUGUGCCUCUACAUCCAAUUCAAAUUUUCAAGGAUGUAGUGCGGUUAAACUUAGUCACUUAAAAUUAAAAAAUUUCACUACACCUGGCCUACAGUAAUCAAAUUAAUUACCCUCAUACUAACGCAAUGUCUUCUCUCACGUUCCAUUCUUGCUAAAACCCUCGCCGCUCUUCCUUCUAUUAAAAUAACGUAACCAAACACACAUAUUUUGUUCCAUGCAUGGUGUGGCCAGGCCACCCAAAUAUUUGAUCAACCAUUACAAUACUGCAGGGUAGAAAAUAUGUGGUCAACCAGUACAAUACAAUUAGAUAUGUCUGUCUAACGUUAAAUUGUACAGCAUAUCCAGAAUGUUCCCCAAAGUAGCAGCAGGGCUCAAGGCUGUUAUCAAUACUACGAUGACAGUAGCUACAAAGUAUUCCUUAGCCAGGGCCAACAAUAGUGCCCCGCGAGACAUUCUUCCAAUACGGGCAAUAUAUUGUCCUUAAGACGAAGGAAACAGCGCCCAAAAUCAGCUUCUCCGUCGUCUUCUUCUUCUUCUUCUUCUUCUUGUUUGUUUUUCAUCAUCUCUAAAACCUCCAAGGGGCACAAGAAGGAUUUGUUGAGCUCGUCAAAGGCUAAAAUUAAGUAGAUGUUAGAAAUGAAAAUAAAAUAAUAAAAUAAACUUUGCCUACAUGGUUUGUCUAUUCCAUUGAAGUGACACGCUUUUUUAAUAAGGUAAUUGAGUAGGCAACUUGCAAGUCUGGUGGUAUUCCUCUUCACUUGAAAGUGAGAGGUCUUAGGUUGGAAUCUCAUGGAUGACGAAUUCGAUACCAAAUUAGGUUGCCCAUU
This 2824-nucleotide long non-coding RNA is filed under the name Malus domestica (apple). RNAcentral's name for it is "long non-coding RNA (MDOM_LNC004997)". The record is from RNAcentral. Lineage: Eukaryota; Viridiplantae; Streptophyta; Magnoliopsida; Rosales; Rosaceae.